CAGAUAGUAACGUCAAGUCAUCGGGCUGAACCACUAUCCCAGACAUAAACCGUGUAUAGCCAGAAGACAUUAUGGCAACUGAGAUUCCACUGCUAUUUGUUUAUGAGUUUCCCAGAGUGCGUAGCACUGUACGUGGCCCUAAGUACACACUAAAUAAAAUUUGGUUGAACUAAAAGGAAUGAGACUGAACUAAGCAUGUCUUCAGUUGGAUUCUCCAGGAAUCAGACUCUGAGGCAGUGUUCACAGGCAGGCAGUUUGUUAAAAGUAUGUUGAGGAAUCCAUCGCUGCAGGGGAGCUGGAGGAUAUAUACCAGGGAAAACGAUGAAAUCCCCUGGGACUGUCUUGAGACCUUCACCUG
This is a long non-coding RNA of Lutra lutra (Eurasian river otter), 358 nucleotides long. RefSeq lists it as uncharacterized. The transcript is spliced from 3 exons. The record is from RefSeq and is a predicted model, not a curated record. NCBI's taxonomy places the organism in Eukaryota, Metazoa, Chordata, Mammalia, Carnivora, Mustelidae.